CCCAAACUUGGAGCCCGCGCCCGGUGGGCUGUAACUCCUCCUUCGUCUACUUUUGGGCCAACUAAAAGCUCGUCACCCUCAUCUGAAAAGUCCACUCAUGACCCCCGAUCGCUGCUGCCUUUUGUCAUGUCCAUUUGGACAGGACGUGCGACAGCUAGCUGCACUCUUAAAUGCAAGACGAGACGACGAACACACCAGUCUGGUUUCCUCCUGUGAUUUGGCGCCGUCUUCUGAGUCAACUGAAAAGCAAAGUAAAAGAAUGAAAGUGGCUGAGCCGGAACAGAAACCCCAAUGCUGGUCGGACCGGUUUACAGAGUGAUACCGGCCUCCGGACUUCCUCAAAUCGGGAACCAGACGGGUGCCGUCUUCCAGAGUCUUGAGGAAUUCCACCUGGAACUCCACCAUUUCCGGAAGAUUUCCAAAGAGAACAUCCAGCUGAGGCCACAAAAGAAGGGAGCUCGCCGAUGACCUUGCGCAGCUUGUCGGCGUCCGAGAGCUGCCGGAGCGCCGGCGGGAACGGCGAGUCCGGGCUGGGCGAGGACGCGCAUUCCGAAGGAUUCAUGUCAUGGAGGCUGCGGCAGAAGGCCGACACCUGCUCCGUGUUCUGAGCAGAAAAGGAAAACAAUGAUCAAGUGUGCGGCAGCUCACCCACGCGCCAACUUCCAGAGCACACCCAUUUGGGACUGAAUAUAGAAAGAAAGAAAUAAAAAAGAUAUCUAUACGUGUGUGUGUGUGUCAUAACAACAACUCUGACAUUGUUUUCCUCCUACGUAUGCCGCUGCCACCCUAAGUGACUCAUCUCAUCUCACGCCACCAUCCAAAUAAUGCACAUGACAUACAGGAGGAGGGUUGCCAUGGAGACCGGCCCUGAUGUGCACUACACUGUCAUUUGGCAGAGAAAGGGGCAAAUCUAGGCAAUCCAUCACUUGCGUCACUUUGUUCAGCUUCCGAAUGACUGACAAAUCUCAAGACAUUUUUCGAAAGUUUGUGGUUUACAAAUUCCCCAAGGUUUGGCCUCAGAAGUAUCCCCCCCUCCAAAAGGAAGUAGGGCUUCAAAUUUGCCUCGGAAGCCAGAGCAGAAUCAUUUACAAGAUGAAGAAAUAGGGCUUUGUCAAUUUGACACUGCAGAGGCGUGAAUAAAGUGACCCAAAAAGCAACGCUGUAUCCUCUCUCUCUCUCUCUCUCUCUCUCUCGCUCGCUCGCUCUCUUCCAGGUGCAGCACACAUGCAUCAUCAACAUCAUCAACAUCAGCGGCGGCGACUCCCGUCCUGCCAAACGUGCGGCAAGAAAAGGAGAAACAGAAGACAAACUUGUUUGGACCUCACCAGAUGGAGCAUGUCAAAAAGCGAGUCGCAGGAGCGCUUCCUGGGCUGACUCCACUUGAGAGACGACAUGGCCACAAACACGCACCCAGACUUUGUCUUUUAAUCGAGCUUCAUUUGGCGCCUGAGCGCGCCGCGCACAACGCCAUCUCUUCUCGAAAAAGCCAAAGCCAGCUGAAGGACGAGCCCGGGAAGACGCCGGCCGGCCGGCCGGGCCGCCUCCUCACCAGCCUUCCACCCACGUCUGCUACGCUACGCUUCUGCCCGCCUCUUCGUUGUGUGCUAAUGCAAGGGAAAAGAGGGAGGAAGGGACUCAUCUCUGUGGCUUGGUGGGGGCCUUCUGGAGUGGGAGCUGGUGCAAGUGAGCAGAGUAUGUGUGUGUGUGUGGAGGGAUUCUGCAACUAAUUCAUCAAAAGGGGCUUUUUAGGUAGUAGUUUAGAUCCUCUUCUGAUUAGGCUUUCCAAUUCAAGGGGAAGGCUUCUAAUUAGAGUUGCACGUUAAAGGCUUGGUUGAUAGUUUCAAAUGAGCCAAAGUUAGAAAUUCAAAUGAAGCUUUUCAUCUUGGUUAGGUUUUAUUUUGAUGCAAUAGUGAGCUGGUUUUUAGGGAGGCUCGCCCCGGCCGGCCAUGGCCUGUCCUGUCCUCUCGAGAGAAAAUGUCAGUGUGGGUGAAAAAGCACCAAAUGUUGCGUCCAGGCUGGCCGGGAGAUAGCGAGGUGCCACUUAGCACUCGCCGUCGUGCCAGAACAAAAAAACUGCUAAAUGUCCUUCUUAAGUUUGUCUCCCUCCCUCCCUCCCUCCGCUUGUUUUCCAAUCCCAGCCGAGCAAAUGUGAAGACAACUGGAAGGCCAACAAGCUCGUGGUUAUGCAAGGCAACAUUUUUUUCCCCUGUUGAUGGAAUAAAACUCAAAGUUGUGGAGCUGUCAUUUUUUAACCUUUUUCCUAAACUUAUUAUUGCCAUGCUACUAUUUUAUUGUCAACCCAAAUAUUCAUGAUAGCAAUGUUUGAGAGCGUUUUCUUACCUGGCCGCACUCGUCCAAGUGGCCAAAGCACUCGGCGUCGUCAUCCAAGCUGUCUCCCGAACUUUCCAGCAGCAGCCCGGCGCUGUCGUCCAGGAUCUCCUCUGCCGACACACGGUGACCAAAUCAGGGUUCGCUUCUCGGGUUAGGUUUUCCGAUCUACGGUCCACUUGCACGGGGAAGCACACAUGAGCAACGUGCGCCACCCGCAGGCCUGAAGUGGAACAUCCUUGGCCGACUUGACAGAUGUUGAGGACCGUUUGGUGUUUUGUCUGCGACCCGGUCACCUUGGCUCUGGGAAAAGAUGUCUGUGUAGGGGUCGGCGUCAGAGCGGCGCGGCGGCAGGAAGCAGAGCUGGCCGCGGCCCAGCGGCGGCAGCGCGCUGACGGUCAACGCCAGCGACGAGAGCGAGAAGGCCGCCUUCAUGUCGGAGAAGUCCAGGCUGUGGGCCUCCUUCCCGUUCAGCUCCAGGAUCUCAUCCCCCGCGUUCAGACCUGGCCGAGAAUACGAGAAGCAACGGCUGUCAUCGCUCAACGCAAUGAGUGACCAUCGACAUGAAUAUCAUUUAUGAAAUCCAAAGGAUUCGAUGAAAAAUAUGGUAACCAGCACCAACAAAACGCAGGUGACUUGGACUAGCCGCAUAACGAAAUAUUGUAAGGCUUU
Long non-coding RNA from Syngnathus typhle (broad-nosed pipefish), 3000 nucleotides. RefSeq lists it as uncharacterized. The record is from RefSeq and is a predicted model, not a curated record. Lineage: Eukaryota; Metazoa; Chordata; Actinopteri; Syngnathiformes; Syngnathidae. The transcript is spliced from 5 exons.